AGGGCCAAACUUCUUCUGAUUGGCCCGUCCGGCGGCGUCGCGACCAGCUACUUUGUGCAGACCUCUGACCACGGUAGGGCAGGCCCAGACUGAGAGUGGAGUUCAUGCUAAGAAUCAAACACUGUGCCAAGUACUUUAACAGUGUCUUAUUUAAUUCUAAGAACCCGGAAAAGGAAAUAUUUCUAUUUCUAUUUAAUACCCAAGAAACUUAGAGGUAGCAGAUGAAGAAUUGAAAUCUAACUCCGUGGGCUUCCAAAACAGCAUUUUGUUCCUCUACGACAUGCGACACUCUGGAGAAGAAGAUCCAAAAAAGUUAUUCGUUUUUCAGUGUCACCCUCCGUGGGACUCAAGAUGGAGCAGAUUACAAGAAUACCAAGAUGAUAGCUGUAGUUCCAGAGAAGCAGCACAAUAGGAGUUGAUGGCUUUUGGUGGCUGGAUGGAGUGAGGUUCCUCAGGCCCGGAAGAGUUUACCGCGAGUACUUCACUUCAAUGUCCGCCUCCUGGCGCUUCAAACUCCACCACAAGAUCAAAGAAAUCAAAUUUGAAAAACUAUUCAAACCCAAAAUACUUGAUUUGAGUUGAUAACAUUAUUAAAAUGUUUUCCACAAAUGUGCCUAGUGGAUGAGGGGUCUAGGAAUGAGAUGACCAUCUAGAUGUGUGAAUAGAGGGUGGAGAUAGGAGGGCAAGGUGAAUAUGUUCCUGCUGUGCUUUCUAUUCCUUUUUUAGCUGCAGGAACUUUAGUUUUAUAAGCUCACUCGGCCUCAUUGGCCUCCUUUGUAAAAUGGGCCUAGUAAUAAAAGUGGGUUGUUUGAAGAGAUAACAUAUGUAUACAUGUGCAGA
Long non-coding RNA from Marmota flaviventris (yellow-bellied marmot), 840 nucleotides. RefSeq lists it as uncharacterized. The record is from RefSeq and is a predicted model, not a curated record. NCBI's taxonomy places the organism in Eukaryota, Metazoa, Chordata, Mammalia, Rodentia, Sciuridae.